Molecule: long non-coding RNA, 483 nt
Organism: Wasmannia auropunctata (little fire ant)
Lineage: Eukaryota; Metazoa; Arthropoda; Insecta; Hymenoptera; Formicidae
Exons: 3
Source: RefSeq, a predicted model, not a curated record
ACUAGCGGUCCAUGAUUAUAUAGUCAAAGGACACGGUAACGUUUAAUGACGCAGUAAGAAGCGACGUGAUGUACGCACGAUAGUUAAUCGACAAUAGAGAAAAAUUCAUUGUUUAGCGUAACACGUAUUUCUGAGGAAGAGUAUCGCUACGAUUUUUCGAAUCCUGGUGUUUCUGGUCACUGCAAAUAUAAGAGGAGGCGGAAGAAGGAGGCAAUUAAUAAUACAUUUUACCGACAUAUAAACGACAGAGGUGAAUAUUUGUUUAUUAACGGUCUCAUAAUGUCAAAAAGGAAAAGAGGACCUUAUAAAAGAUAUCUGCUAGACGAUUCUAACGAAAUUCCUGUAAUAACAAAACGUUCUCGUCUAACAGCAAAAAAAUGGAAAAUAGUUAAACAGAUGGAAAAGUUAUGAUGAAUAGAUUGAUUCAUAUGAACAAAAUGAUAUGACCAUUGAAGGACAUUCUUUCCAUGAAUCUUUGAAAAA